RNAcentral lists this ribosomal RNA (240 nucleotides) under uncultured bacterium. Its description in RNAcentral is "partial 16S ribosomal RNA". It matches the Rfam family "Bacterial small subunit ribosomal RNA", at positions 91 to 334 of the family's 1533-position model. The record is from RNAcentral.
ACGAGUGGCGGACGGGUGCGUAACGCGUGGGAAUCUACCUUGUAGUGGGGGAUAGCCCGAAGAAAUUCGGAUUAAUACCGCAUAAUCUCUACGGAGCAAAGUGGGGGAUCUUCGGACCUCACGCUAUUAGAUGAGCCCGCGUUGGAUUAGCUUGUUGGUGGGGUAAAGGCCUACCAAGGCGACGAUCCAUAGCUGGUUUGAGAGGGUGAUCAGCCACACUGGGACUGAGACACGGCCCAG